AAUAGCAAAAUAAGUGCAUUGAUUUUAAACAUCAAAUAUAAAGAUAAUUUUUAAUCUUUUUUUAUAA
This 67-nucleotide transfer RNA is filed under the name Polistes biglumis. Its description in RNAcentral is "tRNA-Leu". The record is from RNAcentral. Lineage: Eukaryota; Metazoa; Arthropoda; Insecta; Hymenoptera; Vespidae.